This 253-nucleotide ribosomal RNA is filed under the name uncultured bacterium. RNAcentral describes it as "partial 16S ribosomal RNA". It matches the Rfam family "Bacterial small subunit ribosomal RNA", at positions 524 to 776 of the family's 1533-position model. The record is from RNAcentral.
UACGGAGGGUGCAAGCGUUAUCCGGAUUCACUGGGCUUAAAGGGUGCGUAGGUGGGUUGAUAAGUCAGUGGUGAAAUCCCCGAGCUUAACUUGGGAACUGCCAUUGAUACUAUUGAUCUUGAAUACCGUGGAGGUCAGCGGAAUAUGUCAUGUAGCGGUGAAAUGCUUAGAUAUGACAUAGAACACCAAUUGCGAAGGCAGCUGGCUACGCGAAUAUUGACACUGAUGCACGAAAGCGUGGGGAGCAAACAGG